GACUGACUGACCUUCUGUAACACUGCCACCUGCUGCUGACUGACCGACCUUCUGUAACACUGCCACCUGCUGCUGACUGACUGACCUUCUGUAACACUGCCACCUGCUGCUGACUGGCUUUCUGCUCUCACAUCAUCCUGACGUUUGGAUCUGAAGCUGGACAGAGACAGGAAAGGAGAGAGAGAGGUUGGCAGACAAAGGGACUCGGGUUUCAAUCAAACUCACCACUGCAGAAAGGACUCAGCCUUUACACAUGGUAUGCAUUGUAACAGGUUCACAAAAAAUCACCACUUAAUUGCUGAAUAAAUCUAUAAAAAUGGGAAACAAAGUACCAUCAGAAUGUAACAUGGGCGACCGCCUGAGAUGCUGCAAGUGUUAUAAAGUCCUGCCUCCGUGCACAUCCUUUGAUAAUCUCUCCAAAAGUACUGUUCAUGGGCGGUACGUCUAUGUGUUCAAUGGAGGUGAAUACUACAGACCAGUUGGCGCCGAUAAUAUGUACGAGUGUGAAUACUGCUUUAAUAAACCAAUCAGGGAUCAAGAGCAAAUGAGGAGAGAGGAGGAGAGGAGAAGAGAGGAGGAGAGGAGGAGAGAGGAGGAGAGGAGAAGAGAGGAGGAGAGACAGAGAGAGGAGGAG
Molecule: long non-coding RNA, 634 nt
Organism: Micropterus salmoides (largemouth bass)
Lineage: Eukaryota; Metazoa; Chordata; Actinopteri; Centrarchiformes; Centrarchidae
Exons: 3
Source: RefSeq, a predicted model, not a curated record